Molecule: unclassified non-coding RNA, 261 nt
Organism: Callithrix jacchus (white-tufted-ear marmoset)
Lineage: Eukaryota; Metazoa; Chordata; Mammalia; Primates; Cebidae
Rfam family: Metazoan signal recognition particle RNA
About the family: The signal recognition particle (SRP) is a universally conserved ribonucleoprotein.
Source: Ensembl
GCCGGGCACAGUGGCAUGUACCUGUAGUCCCAGCUACGUGGGAGGCUGAGGUGGGAGGAUUGCUUGAGCCCAGGAAUUCUGGGCUGUAGUGCACUAGCCCAUUGGGUGUCCGCACUAAGCUCGGCAUCAAUAUGGUGAUGGGUGAACCAUCCCAGGUCGGAAACGGAGCAGGUCAAAACUCCCGUGCUGAUCAGUAGUGGGAUUGGGCCUGUGAAUAGCCACUGCACUCCAGCCUGGGCAACAUAGUGAGACCCAUAUCUC